CCGAUGGCGACCGGCGCACGGGUGAGUAACACGUAUCCAACCUGCCGAUGACUCGGGGAUAGCCUUUCGAAAGAAAGAUUAAUACCCGAUGGCAUAGUUCUUCCGCAUGGUAGAACUAUUAAAGAAUUUCGGUUAUCGAUGGGGAUGCGUUCCAUUAGGCAGUUGGUGGGGUAACGGCCCACCAAACCUUCGAUGGAUAGGGGUUCUGAGAGGAAGGUCCCCCACAUUGGAACUGAGACACGGUCCAA
This 248-nucleotide ribosomal RNA is filed under the name uncultured bacterium. RNAcentral describes it as "partial 16S ribosomal RNA". It matches the Rfam family "Bacterial small subunit ribosomal RNA", at positions 85 to 334 of the family's 1533-position model. The record is from RNAcentral.